Molecule: ribosomal RNA, 468 nt
Filed under: uncultured bacterium
Lineage: Bacteria
Description: partial 16S ribosomal RNA
Rfam family: Bacterial small subunit ribosomal RNA
Source: RNAcentral
GACGAACGCUGGCGGCGUGCUUAACACAUGCAAGUCGAACGGAAAGGCCCUGCUUUUGUGGGGUGCUCGAGUGGCGAACGGGUGAGUAACACGUGAGUAACCUGCCCUUGACUUUGGGAUAACUUCAGGAAACUGGGGCUAAUACCGGAUAGGAGCUCCUGCUGCAUGGUGGGGUUUGGAAAGUUUCGGCGGGUGGGGAUGGACUCGCGGCUUAUCAGUUUGUUGGUGGGGUAGUGGCUUACCAAGGCUUGGACGGGUAGCCGGCCGGGGAGGGUGACCGGCAACAUUGGGACUGAGAUACGGCCCAGACUCCUACGGGAGGCAGAAGUGGGGAAUAUUGCACAAGGGGCGGAAGCCUGAGGAAGCAACGCGGGGUGCGGGAUGACGGCCUUCGGGUUGUAACCCGUUUUCGCCUGUGACGAAGCGUGAGUGACGGUAAUGGGUAAAGAAGCACCGGCUAACUACGUG